This is a long non-coding RNA of Caretta caretta (loggerhead turtle), 5836 nucleotides long. RefSeq lists it as uncharacterized. NCBI's taxonomy places the organism in Eukaryota, Metazoa, Chordata, Testudines, Cheloniidae. The record is from RefSeq and is a predicted model, not a curated record.
CUGGGCUAACCUUCUUAGAGAGCUUUUCCAUUAAUUUCAAAUGGUGUUGAAUCAAGCCAUAUUGAUGUCUGAUUCUUGAAUAAGGUGUAACUCAUACUAUAUCCUUGUCUACCCAUUUUCUUUUUCUCUUGGGAAGGCAGUUGUAGCAAAGAGGCGUGGCCUCCCUCAGAGAUUGACAGCGAGGGAGGGUUACACAUACCUACUGAAUGUAUCAAGCCCUUCAUAAAGGAGAUGUACAUUGAUGACAUCUUCAUCAUCUGGACCCAUGGAAAAGAAGCCCUUGAGGAAUUCCACCAUCAUUUCAACAAUCUCCAUCCCACCCUCAACCUCAGCCUGGUCCAGUCCACAAAAGAGAUCCACUUCCUGGACAUUACGGUGCUAAUAAGCGAUGGUCACAUAAACACCACCCUAUACCGGAAACUUACUGACCGCUAUACUUACCUACAUGCCUCCAACUUUCAUCCAGACCACACCACACGAUCCAUUGUCUACAGCCAAGCUCUACGAUACAACCGCAUUUGCUCUAACCCCUCCGACAGAGACAAACACCUACAAGAGCUCUAUCAAGCAUUCUUACAACUGCAAUACCCACUUGCUGAAAUGAAGAAACAGAUUGACAGAGCCAGAAAAGUAUCCAGAAGUUACCUACUACAGGACAGGCCCAACAAAGAAAAUAACAGAACGCCACUAGCCAUCACUUUCAGCCCCCAACUAAAACCUCUCCAACACAUCAUCAAGGACCUACAACCUAUCCUGAAGGAUGACCCAUCACUCUCACAGAUCUUGGGAGACAGGCCAGUCCUUGCUUACAGACAGUCCCCAAACCUGAAGCAAAUACUCCCCAGCAACAACUCCCCAGUAACCACACACCACACAACAAAAACACCAACCCAGGAACCUAUCCUUACAACAAAGCCCGUUGCCAACUGUGUCCACAUAUCUAUUCAGGGGACACCAUCAUAGGGCCUAAUCACAUCAGCUACACUGUCAGAGGCUCAUUCACCUGCACAUCUACCAAUGUGAUAUAUGGCAUCAUGUGCCAGCAAUGCCCCUCUGCCAUGUACGUUGGCCAAACGGGACAGUCGCUACAGAAAAGAAUAAAUGGACACAAAUCAGAUGUCAAGAAUUAUAACAUUCAAAAACCAGUUGGAGAACACUUCAAUCUCUUUAGUCACUCGAUUACAGACCUAAAAGUUGCAAUUCUUGAACAAAAAAACUUCAAAAACAGACUCCAAGGAGAGACUGCUGAAUUGGAAUUAAUUUGCAAACUGGAUACAAUUAACUUAGGCUUGAAUAGAGACUGGGAGUGGAUGUGUCAUUACACAAGGUAAAACUAUUUCCCCAUGCUUAUUUCCCCCCGACUCCCCCACCACUGUUCCUCACACGUUCUUGUCAACUGCUGGAAAUGGCUCACCUUGAUUAUCACUGAAAAAGAUUCUCCCCUUCCCCCGCUCUCCUGCUGGUAACAGCUCACCUUACCUGAUCACUCUUGUUACAGUAUGUAUGGUAACACUCAUUGUUUCAUGUUCUCUGUGUAUAUAAAAUCUCCCCACUGUAUUUUCCACUGCAUGCAUCCAAUGAAGUGAGCUGUAGCUCAUGAAAGCUUAUGCUCAGAUAAAUUUGUUAAUCUCUAAGGGCCACAAGUACUCCUUUUCUUUUUGGUGUUUAUAUAGUUUCCAACUGAUAGCCAUCAGUACACAGGAGUUCUAACAAUUCCACUGACUGGCUGCUACUCACUGCUGUUUCUGGUCCUCUAGUAACAGAUUUCAGAUCUCUGGAAGUGGAGUAUGUUACUUAGAAAUUUUAAACUGAUUUUGAAAAUUAGUUAGUCUGUCUUUCUCAUUAAUAUACAAACAAUUGCUAACCCACACACAUCAUUUUAUUCCUUCAAAUUGGUAUGGUGUAAAUACUAUUUAAAUAUUUCAAAUGUAAAAUGGGUAACAUAAGCAAGCUUUUUUAAAAACUAGAGAAUAAGUCAUUUUCAGCUGUUCCACAACUAUUUAAUAAGACAUAGGAAGGUGGCACAUUUUUAGAAUGUUGGUAGAGUGGAGAGAUUGUGUUCUGCAAGGCCUUCUCUAGCCUGGAUAAAUGGUAUGGUUUUAGCUAAAACUGUAGCGUGGACAAAGCAGUACAUAUUUUUAAUUAAUAUGUGCUAAACUGCUUAAAUUAAAGCCUAAAGUCUUCCCUUUCACACAUGUUAAAAGCAGUAUGCCGUGUCUAUGACGGACUUCUAAAAACUAAUGUGUUGACUUCCUAGUCUAGACAAGGCCCCAAAUGUUUUUUUUAACAGUAAUGGGAGAUGUCAACGAUUUUUCUGUUGACUGGGUAUAUGUCACCUCAGGACAGGAUCCAGAGGUAAAAUGUCUAGACAUCAUAAAUGACUGCUUCUUGGAACAGUUUGUUAUGGAACCAAUAAGAGGAGAGGCCAUUCUUGCUUUAGUUCUGAGUGGAGCACAGGAUCUGGUCCAAGAGGUGAAUACAGCUGAACUGCUUAGUAAUAAUGACCAUAAUAUAAUUAAAUUUAACAUCCUCACAGGGGGGAAAUUGCCAAAGAAACCCACGACAGUAGCAUUUAACUUCAAAAAGGGGAACCACACAAAAAUUAGGAAGCUAGUUAAAUGGAAGUUAAAAGGAACAGUCUCAGGGGGUGAAAUGCCUAUAAAUUGCAUGGAAACUAUUUAAAAACAUCACAAGAGAGGCUCAAACUAAAUAUAGAGCACUCCCUCCCAAAAGAACAGAGGACCAAAAAAAUGCCACUCUGGCUAAACAGCAGAGUAAAAGAGGUGGUUAGAGGCAAAAAGGCAUCCUUUAAAAUUUAGAAGUUAAAUCCUACUGAUUAAAAUAGAAAAGACCAUAAACUGGCAAGUCAAAUGUAAAAGCAUAAUUAGGCAGGCCAAGAAAGAAUUUGAAGAGCAACUAGCUAAAGACACAAUAAAGUAAACAGCAGUAAGGCACCAGGACCAGAUGGUAAUCACCCAAGAGUUCUGAAAGAACUCAAAUAUGAAAUUGCAGAACCACUAACUGUGGUCUGUACCAUAUAGCUUAAAUCAGCAUCUGUACCAGAUGACUUGAGGGUAGCUAAUGUGAUGCUGAUUAUUAAAAAAGCUCCAGUGGUGAUCCUGGCAAUUACAGGCCAUUAAGCCUAACUUCAGUACCAAGCAAAUUGAUAUAAACAAUAGCAAAGAACAGAAUUAUCACACAGAUAAACACAAUAUGUUGGGAAUGAGUCAACACAUUUUUCGUAGAGGGUAAUCAUGCCUCACUAAUCUAUUAGAAUUCUUUGAGGGUGUUAACUAGCAUGUGGACAAGAGUGAGUCAGUGAAUAUAGUGUACCUGGACUUUCAGAAAGCCUUUGACAAGGUCGCACAUCAACGGCUCUUAAGCAAAGUAAGCAGUCCUGGGAUAAGAGAGAAGGUCCUCUCAUGGAUCAAUAACUGGUUAAAAGCCAGGAAACAAAGGGUAUGAAUAAAUGGUCAUUUUUCAGAAUGUCAACGUAAAGAGCGGAGUCCCCCAAGUAUCUGUACAGGGACCAGUGUUGUUCAACAUAUCCAAAAAUAAUCUGGAAAAAGGGGUGAGCAGUGAGAUAGAAAAUUAUUCAAGAUAGGUAAAUCCAAACCUGAUUGCGAAGAGUUACAAAGGGAUCUCACUAAACUGGAUAGCUGGGCAACAAAAUGGAAGAUGAAAUUCAAUGUUGAUAACUGCAAAAUAAUGCACAUUCAAAAAUGUAAUUUCAACUACACAUACAUAAUGAUGGGAUCUAAAUUAGCUGUUCCCACUCAAGAAAGAGAUCUUGGAGUCAUUGUAGGUAGUUCUCUGAAAACAGCUGCUCAAGAUGCAGUGGCAGUCAAAAAAGCUAACAGAAUGUUAGGACCAUUAGUAAAGGGAUAGAUAAUAAGACAGAAAAUAUCAUAAUGCCACUAUAUAAAUCUGUGGUACACCCAUACUGAAUACUGUGGGCAGUUCUGGUCAAAAAAGAUAAAAUUGAAAAAGGUACAGAGAAGAGCAACAAAAAUUAUGAGUAUGGAACAACUUCCAUAAGAGGAGAGAGUAAAAAAUUCUGGGACUGUUCAUCUUGGGAGAGACGACUAAGGGGGAAUAUGAUAAGAAAUCUAUAGCAUCAUGAAUGGUGUGGAGAAAGUGAAUAAGGAAAUGAUUUACCUCUUCACAUAGCACAAGAACUGGGGGUCAUCUGAUGAAAUUAAUAUGCAGAUGGUUUAAAACAAACACAAAGAAGUACUUCACACAAUGCAGUCAACCUGUGCAACUAGUUGCCAUUGGAUGUUGUGAAAGCCAAAACUAAAACUGAGUUAAAAAAAGCAUUAGGUAAGUUUAUGGAUGAUAGGUCCAUCAAUGGCUAUUAUCUCAUGCUCCAGGUGUCGCUAUAUUUCCAACUGCCAGAAGCUGGGACUGGACAACGGGAUGGAUCACUUGAGAUUGCCCUGUUCUCUUCUUUCCCUUUGAAGCAUCUGGCACUGGCCACUGUUGGAAGACAGUAUACUGGGCUAGAUGGACUGCUGCUCUGAUCCAGUAUGGCCGUUCUGAUGUGCUUAUAUGCAGUGAUGAGCUGCCAGAACCUGAAGAACUGGUUCCUUCAGUCGCUCCUGGUCUUUGGUGGCAUUGAAGGGCCCGACGCCAAAGUGCCGCCGAAGACCUGGAGUGACUGAAGGACCUGCUGCCGAAGUGCCACCGAAGGGCCACAGGGCCGCCGGGUGAGUAGAAAUUCUCAGGGGAGCCUUCCGAGCUGAGAGCUCAGGCGGGACGGACAGGACAGUCCCACGGGCCGCAGUUUACCGAACCCCUUUAACAACCGGUUCUAAACCAGCUUCAAAAUUUAACAGCUGGUUUGCACGAACUGGUGCGAACCGGCUCUAGCUCACCACUGCUUAUAUGCAGACUAAGAUCAGGGCCCAAAUCUAGAAAAGACUUGCAUGUGCUCAACUUUAUACAUGGGUAUCUUCAUAUUAUUUUCAACUGAACAACUUAUGUGUAAAGUUUAAACAUGUGCACAAGUGAUUGCAGGAUUAGGGCCCAAAACUGGUUCUUCACAUUGACACUGUUACUUUGAAUUUCAGUAGAUUUUUUCCAUCCUGUUUGCAGUUUCAUUCUUCUCUCAAAUAUACUUUAUUAUUGAGUCAUAGAGUUUAAGGCCAGAAGGAAGGACCAGAUCAUCUACUCUGACCUCCUGUAUAUAAGUGGCCACCAACACCACCCAGCACCCGGACACUAAACCCAACAACUGAAAUAAGACGAAAAAUUUAGAGCCCAGAGGUGACUAAAUUAUGUGCCACAGGCAGAGAAUAGGAGACAUGCAAGUGCACCAGUGCCUCAAACCCCUGCAGUGGCUGGGAAAUGAUUAAGUGAUAGAUACCUAGAUAAUCCUGGCAAGUGACCCACACCCACAUGUUGCAGAGAAGGCAACCCCUUCCCCCAAGGUCACCGCCAGUCUGACCUGGUGGAAAAUUCCUUCCUGACCCCACAUAGUGAUCAUUUAGACCCUGAGCUUGUGAGUAAGAGUUAGCCAGCUAAACCCUGAGAGAGAGAGAGACUGGUCGGCGCCCUGGCCAUCCUCAUCUAAUGUUUCAUCUCCAGCUUUGACCAUCUCUGAUGCUUUAGAGGCAGAAGAUUUAAAAAAAACACAGACUAUACUGGGGGAAACAUAUUCCUUCCUGACCCCUGUGGGUGGCCAACUGAAACUCUGAAGCAUGAACUUUUAGGAAUAUAAAACAUAAACCAGAAGUAAGCUCCAGAGCGGUUGAGCCCUUCCCCCUACCAUGAUUCGGACAGAAGGAUCCAUAUCUUAUGCUUCAUCAUACAUUUAAAUGUUUUGCUUUCUAUA